This 433-nucleotide ribosomal RNA is filed under the name uncultured bacterium. Its description in RNAcentral is "partial 16S ribosomal RNA". It matches the Rfam family "Bacterial small subunit ribosomal RNA", at positions 29 to 507 of the family's 1533-position model. The record is from RNAcentral.
AACGAACGCUGGCGGCAUGCCUAACACAUGCAAGUCGAACGAGACCUUCGGGUCUAGUGGCGCACGGGUGCGUAACGCGUGGGAACCUGCCCUUAGGUUCGGAAUAACUCCCCGAAAGGGGUGCUAAUACCGGAUAAUGUCUUCGGACCAAAGAUUUAUCGCCUUUGGAUGGGCCCGCGUUGGAUUAGCUAGUUGGUAGGGUAAAAGCCUACCAAGGCGACGAUCCAUAGCUGGUCUGAGAGGAUGAUCAGCCACACUGGGACUGAGACACGGCCCAGACUCCUACGGGAGGCAGCAGUGGGGAAUAUUGGACAAUGGGCGGAAGCCUGAUCCAGCAAUGCCGCGUGAGUGAUGAAGGCCUUAGGGUUGUAAAGCUCUUUUACCCGGGAUGAUAAUGACAGUACCGGGAGAAUAAGCUCCGGCCAACUCCGUG